AGCUUUGCGCAGUGGCAGUAUCGUAGCCAAUGAGGUUUAUCCAAGGCGCGAUUAUUGCUAAUUGUUCUGUGUAUUUAAGAGUCUCUUGGGGCGCCUGGGUGGCUUAGUCGGUUAAGCGUCCGACUUUCGCUUGGGUCACGAUC
This is a small nuclear RNA of Hyaena hyaena (striped hyena), 143 nucleotides long. RefSeq annotates it as U4 spliceosomal RNA. Lineage: Eukaryota; Metazoa; Chordata; Mammalia; Carnivora; Hyaenidae. The transcript has a single exon. The record is from RefSeq and is a predicted model, not a curated record.